This is a non-coding RNA of Tachysurus fulvidraco (yellow catfish), 1239 nucleotides long. Lineage: Eukaryota; Metazoa; Chordata; Actinopteri; Siluriformes; Bagridae. The record is from the annotation of a RefSeq genome assembly.
CCACAUUAAAUUGAUAUGGAGAUGAAACGGGGUGUGAGUGUGAUUAACAGCUGCAGAGCUGCACUCAACACAGCCUCUCUGUAAUGUUUAUGCAAAUCUGCAUCUCCUCUUGUAAUAUUAGCAGCGUUCUGAUCUAGAGAGGAAACACUUCUCAUUAGUCUUCCUUCAACACAAACAUGUUUGCUUCAGCUCCACUGCUGCUGCUGGCUCUCGCCCCCUAUGUGUUCUGUGCUACUGAGCUCAUCCAGCCAGACUCACUGCUUAUAAAGCCAGGAGAGACUUUAACCAUCACCUGUAAAGUGUCUGGAGCUUCUAUCACUGAUAGCAGCCACUAUGGAACAGCUUGGAUUCGGCAACCUGCAGGAAAAGCUUUAGAAUGGAUCAACAAUAUUUAUUAUGAUGGGAGUAUUCAAAAGAAAGAUUCACUUAAAGACAAGUUUGUGGUCUCUCGAGACACUUCCAGUAACUCUGUGACCUUACGGGGACAGAACAUGCAGACUGAAGACACAGCUGUGUAUUACUGCGCUCGUUAUCCACACAGUGACACAACAAGCUGCAGUGCUGCACAAAAACCUCAUCACAAUUCACUUCUUUAAUUAAAUAACAACUACAUUUUACUGAGUAACUAAUCCCCAUAUUACAAUUAUUUCAGCAUAGACACCAACACUGGCAUUAAUAAAAUAAAUACAUAAAACUUUACUUAGGAAUAAUAGUCUCUUUUUUAACCAGUUGAAAUGAAAUGUGUCUGCAAAAGACAUUUAUUAUAAAGAACAACAUCCAUUCAAACUCAGCACUCAGGCUUUAACUCUUCAUCCUGAAUGAACAAAAACCAUCCAAAAACUCCUCAAACUAUAUCUAAUAAUUAAUAAGAAUCCCAUGCAAUUAAAUGUGAAAUAUGAACAUUGUAUAAUUUGAUUACGUAUUUUUUGGUAAUGUACCAAUGAAUAGGAAAAAAACAAACACAAAGUUUUUAUCAUCUCACCAAAUGAGUUUUAUUAAAUGAUCAUUGGAAAACCAGAAUUAGCUAAAAUGUAAACUUUAAAUAUUUUUAUUUCAUGUUUCUGUACUUGUGUAAAGCUGCUAUGAGACGAUGUCAAUUGUUAAAUGCAUUACAGAAAUAAAUUGAGUUGAACUGACAGAUUGAGAAAUAUGGAAGCUAAUGUUCACAAAGAGAGAAAAAGAGCUCAGUGCCAUAAUCAUUGAGACUAAUAUUGAUUUCCCAAUUAACUGAUUAUUUAA